AUAACUUUAGAUUUUAAGAUCUUCUUAACUGAAAAGUAAAUUAAAAACAAAGAGUAGUGUUUCUAAUAUUAUUGUCAUUAUCUCAUUAUUUAUAUGGGCCCAGUUAGCCUAUUUGAUGCAAAUAAAGCCAGUGUAGUUGAUUUCUUUUUCUUGCCCAGCUUAGUUAAUGGCUAACCUGAGUUAGGCCUGGUAGAAUUCUGUAGAACGCUGCUGUUGUCACAGACAGUGGCCCUUGUGAUUGUCGGGUCUUUCAAGUACAGACUUGCUUUCAGGGGGAAGAUUUUCAAAAAAGUGUGCGUGCAAACCUAUAAACACUAUUAACAUCUAUAUAGUACUUUAUUGUUUCAAAUAUGCUUUUAUACUUAAAAUUUUAUUUAAUCCUCACAACUGCUGUGUGAAUUAGUUUUACUUCCAUAUUAUAGGGUCGUCUUAUUUUAUAGGUUGAGAAACUGAUUCUGAGUAGUUCAGUGACUUACUCAAGGUCACACAGCUAAUACCUCAGUGGAAGUGCAAGAGAUUUGAUUGAACAGAUGUGGCCUCUUUAAGGAACCAAUGUAAGACUAUGAACAAUAAAUUAAGAGUCAUUUUACCUCUUUAGAAGAGGGUGCUUUUUCUCAAGUAUAGCAUUAAGUAGAUUUCUUACUAGAGAAACUUGAAAACAAUAUUUAAAACUAAAUAAAUAUAAAUGAAUAAUUUUUCUGAAGAUUAAAACAGCUGUGAAAUUAGGUAAUUAGGUGAGCAGUAAGAAGUGUGGCAUCGAUUUGAGGUUUAUCUAUAGAGAUGCACGUGUACAUGUGUAUAUAUAGAUUCUGUCACUAAGUUUAUCUAUAGAGAUGCACGUGUACGUGUGUAUAUAUAGAUUCUGUCACUAAGUUUAUCUAUAGAGAUGCACGUGUACGUGUGUAUAUAGAUUCUGUCACUAAGUUUAUCUAUAGAGAUGCACGUGUACGUGUGUAUAUAGAUUCUGUCACUAAGUUUAUCUAUAGAGAUGCACGUGUACGUGUGUAUAUAUAGAUUCUGUCACUAAGUUUAUCUAUAGAGAUGCACGUGUACGUGUGUAUAUA
This 1064-nucleotide long non-coding RNA is filed under the name Equus asinus (donkey). Its description in RNAcentral is "lncRNA (ENSEASG00005028771.1)". The record is from RNAcentral. Lineage: Eukaryota; Metazoa; Chordata; Mammalia; Perissodactyla; Equidae.